GCCGAAAGGCAAGAGUGCCCGCAAGGGAGCGCGGAGACAGGUGGUGCAUGGCUGUCGUCAGCUCGUGUCGUGAGAUGUUGGGUUAAGUCCCGCAACGAGCGCAACCCUCACCCCUUGUUGCCAUCAGGUGAUGCUGGGCACUCUAGGAAAACUGCCCCGGUCAACGGGAAGAAAGGCAGAAACGACGUCAAGUCAUCAUGCCCCUUACGUCCUGGACUACACACGUGCUACAAUGGCCGGUACAGAGGGAUGCUAGACCGCGAGGUAAAGCUAAACCCAAAAAGCCAGUCUAAGUUCAGAUUGGAGUCUGCAACUCGACUCCAUGAAGGAAGAAUCGCUAGUAAUCGCGUAUCAGCACGACGCGGUGAAUACGUUCCCAGACCUUGUACACACCGCCCGUCACACCACGAAAGCCAGCUGUACUCGAAGUCGCUGAG
This 437-nucleotide ribosomal RNA is filed under the name uncultured bacterium. Its description in RNAcentral is "bacterial SSU rRNA". It matches the Rfam family "Bacterial small subunit ribosomal RNA", at positions 1000 to 1434 of the family's 1533-position model. The record is from RNAcentral.